Long non-coding RNA from Heterocephalus glaber (naked mole-rat), 907 nucleotides. The record is from Ensembl. NCBI's taxonomy places the organism in Eukaryota, Metazoa, Chordata, Mammalia, Rodentia, Bathyergidae.
GCACACUGAGCAGCAGUGAGUGCUUGUUCUCAGCCUUGCCUCCUUACCACCUCAUGUAUACAGGUUCUUUUCUUAACCCGUUAAGCAACAAACUAGUUUUAUUUGUAUUUCUUUGACUACCAGUGAAACAGCCCUUGUAAUGUCUCACUGGGCAUAUGUGUUACUUUAAUCCCCAGUUCAUGCUCAUGUUUACCUGUUAGCCUCUGCUGCCUUCUGUCACCAAGAGCGCACCACCCACUUUUCCUUUUGAGCGCCCCCACAUCCCUGCAAGUAAACCUGCGCGUGCGCAGUGUGGCAUUGCUCCACCCUCAGCUACCACAGCGGCCCAGUUACCCGGGGCAGUGCCCUCCCCCAGAGGAAAUGGCCAGCGAAGGUCACUGAGGUACAAGCACGUAUUUUCUGAGGCUUUUUUAGAUAUCAAAGAGACACCUUCUUGCAAGUAGUAUGUCGCGAGGAGUAACAUUUCUUGCUGAAGCUAAUUUUUCUAAUAAAAGUCAACCUGAGGUGGUACCUAGAAAACAAAAGGAACUCUGAAUUGGAGAACCAGAUGCAAUCUGGAACCUCUGGAUGGAAUCAGACCUGAAGGGAGAUGUUUCUGGAUCUUCACCAACAUAGAUCAAUACAUUCAUUUUUUGUAUGAGCAACUAUAACUUGGAUUGGGGAACAACUAAAUAUACAAUAUAUAACACCUCCUCUGCAAGUCUGAAGAGUGCCUCCGAACAGGGGCAUGACAGGUGGAGACCUGGAGCUACCAAGGGCACAAAGAGCUCCCUAGUGGAAUCAUCCAAAGUUCAAGCCAUUCUUUACAAGUUGGCAAGAAGUGGCAAGAUCGCUUCUGGACUGUGGCUGAGGGGGUGCUGGAGCCAAGUCACAAGGUUGCUUCAGGGUCUGCAGCUGGACCAAGGUC